GAUGAACGCUGGCGGCGUGCCUAAUACAUGCAAGUCGAGCGAACAGACGAGGAGCUUGCUCCUCUGACGUUAGCGGCGGACGGGUGAGUAACACGUGGAUAACCUACCUAUAAGACUGGGAUAACUUCGGGAAACCGGAGCUAAUACCGGAUAAUAUAUUGAACCGCAUGGUUCAAUAGUGAAAGACGGUUUUGCUGUCACUUAUAGAUGGAUCCGCGCCGCAUUAGCUAGUUGGUAAGGUAACGGCUUACCAAGGCAACAAUGAGUAGCCGACCUGAGAGGGUGAUCGGACACACUGGAACUGAGACCCGGCCCAGACUCCUACGGGAGGCAGCAGUAGGGAAUCUUCCGCAAUGGGCGAAAGCCUGACGGAGCAACGCCGCGUGAGUGAUGAAGGUCUUCGGAUCGUAAAACUCUGUUAUUAGGGAAGAACAAAUGUGUAAGUAACUAUGCACGUCUUGACGGUACCUAAUCAGAAAGCCACGGCUAACUACGUG
This 497-nucleotide ribosomal RNA is filed under the name uncultured bacterium. RNAcentral describes it as "partial 16S ribosomal RNA". It matches the Rfam family "Bacterial small subunit ribosomal RNA", at positions 28 to 507 of the family's 1533-position model. The record is from RNAcentral.